Molecule: ribosomal RNA, 309 nt
Filed under: uncultured bacterium
Lineage: Bacteria
Description: partial 16S ribosomal RNA
Rfam family: Bacterial small subunit ribosomal RNA
Source: RNAcentral
AGAGACAGCAGCCGCCACGGUAAUACGGAGGGUGCAAGCGUUAAUCGGAAUUACUGGGCGUAAAGCGCACGCAGGCGGUCUGACAAGUCAGAUGUGAAAUCCCCGGGCUUAACCUGGGAACUGCAUUUGAAACUGUCAGGCUGGAGUCUUGUAGAGGGGGGUGGAAUUCCAGGUGUAGCGGUGAAAUGCGUAGAGAUCUGGAGGAAUACCGGUGGCGAAGGCGGCCCCCUGGACAAAGACUGACGCUCAGGUGCGAAAGCGUGGGGAGCAAACAGGAUUAGAUACCCCUGUAGUCCCUGUCUCUUAUAC